RNAcentral lists this ribosomal RNA (292 nucleotides) under uncultured bacterium. RNAcentral's name for it is "partial 16S ribosomal RNA". It matches the Rfam family "Bacterial small subunit ribosomal RNA", at positions 505 to 796 of the family's 1533-position model. The record is from RNAcentral.
GUGCCAGCCGCCGCGGUAAUACGUAGGGUGCGAGCGUUGUCCGGAAUUAUUGGGCGUAAAGGGCUCGUAGGCGGUCUGUUGCGUCAGGAGUGAAAACUCGGGGCUUAACCCCGAGCCUGCUUCUGAUACGGGCAGACUAGAGGUAUGCAGGGGAGAACGGAAUUCCUGGUGUAGCGGUGAAAUGCGCAGAUAUCAGGAGGAACACCGGUGGCGAAGGCGGUUCUCUGGGCAUUACCUGACGCUGAGGAGCGAAAGUGUGGGGAGCGAACAGGAUUAGAUACCCCGGUAGUCC